RNAcentral lists this ribosomal RNA (502 nucleotides) under uncultured bacterium. RNAcentral's name for it is "partial 16S ribosomal RNA". It matches the Rfam family "Bacterial small subunit ribosomal RNA", at positions 28 to 523 of the family's 1533-position model. The record is from RNAcentral.
GAUGAACGCUAGCGGCAGGCCUAACACAUGCAAGUCGAGGGGCAGCACAGAAACAGCAAUGUUUUGGUGGCGACCGGCGGACGGGUGCGUAACGCGUAUGCAACCUACCUUUAACAGGGGGAUAACGGAGAGAAAUUUCCACUAAUACCCCAUAACAUCGAUCAAGGCAUCUUGAUUGGUUGAAAACUCCGGUGGUUAAAGAUGGGCAUGCGUUGUAUUAGGUAGUUGGUGAGGUAAUGGCUCACCAAGCCUACGAUACAUAGGGGGACUGAGAGGUUAGCCCCCCACCCUGGUACUGAGACACGGACCAGACUCCUACGGGAGGCAGCAGUGAGGAAUAUUGGUCAAUGGGGGCAACCCUGAACCAGCCAUGCCGCGUGCAGGAAGACGGCUCUAUGAGUUGUAAACUGCUUUUAAACAGGGAUAAAGCACAGUAUGUAUACUGUGUUGAAGGUACUGUAAGAAUAAGGAUCGGCUAACUACGUGCCAGCCGCCGCGGUAA